Molecule: transfer RNA, 74 nt
Filed under: Bifidobacterium cuniculi
Lineage: Bacteria; Bacillati; Actinomycetota; Actinomycetes; Bifidobacteriales; Bifidobacteriaceae
Rfam family: tRNA
About the family: Transfer RNA (tRNA) molecules are approximately 80 nucleotides in length. Their secondary structure includes four short double-helical elements and three loops (D, anti-codon, and T loops).
Source: Rfam by way of RNAcentral
GGAGCCUUAGCUCAGUCGGUUAGAGCAUCGGACUCAUAAUCCGCCGGUCCAGGGUUCAAGCCCCUGAGGCUCCA